UUCCCCCCACCCGUGGUAAGGAACAGAGUAUAAAAUAAAAACAAAAAGGCACAAAAGAGUCUUUUAUGUUUUAAAUACAAGCACCAUUUAGGUUGCUGUAAUACCAUGGAAGAAAUGAUAUGGCAACCAGAAAAUAAGAAUAAAAUAAUUUUCUGGGGUCGAGAAAUCGGCUAAGAUAUUGUGUGGAAGUUACCCAGCCCUUGACGGAGAAAAGUAGAAGGAGGGACGACCUCACGGCAGCAACUACAAAUAAGUCUGCAACAACAACGACGGCCGCAGCGACGAUACAGAAACAGGCGGCAUCAGGAAAUCAUCCUACAACAAACAACGGCGGCAGCGACGACAGCAGCAGCAAAAA
Molecule: non-coding RNA, 358 nt
Organism: Drosophila kikkawai
Lineage: Eukaryota; Metazoa; Arthropoda; Insecta; Diptera; Drosophilidae
Source: RefSeq, a predicted model, not a curated record